AAGAGACAGCAGCAGCCGCGGGAAUACGUAGGUGGCAAGCGUUGUCCGGAAUUAUUGGGCGUAAAGCGCGCGCAGGCGGAUAGGUCAGUCUGUCUUAAAAGUUCGGGGCUUAACCCCGUGAUGAGAUGGAAACUGCCAAUCUAGAGUAUCGGAGAGGAAAGUGGAAUUCCUAGUGUAGCGGUGAAAUGCGUAGAUAUUAGGAAGAACACCAGUGGCGAAGGCGACUUUCUGGACGAAAACUGACGCUGAGGCGCGAAAGCCAGGGGAGCGAACGGGAUUAGAUACCCCUGUAGUCCCUGUCUCUUAUACA
Molecule: ribosomal RNA, 310 nt
Filed under: uncultured bacterium
Lineage: Bacteria
Description: partial 16S ribosomal RNA
Rfam family: Bacterial small subunit ribosomal RNA
Source: RNAcentral